UGGCUCAGAACGAACGCUGGCGGCAGGCCUAACACAUGCAAGUCGAACGCUCCAGCAAUGGAGAGUGGCAGACGGGUGAGUAACGCGUGGGAACCUACCCUUUGGUUCGGAAUAGCCCAGGGAAACUUGGGGUAAUACCGGAUAAGCCCUUACGGGGAAAGAUUUAUCGCCGAAAGAUCGGCCCGCGUCUGAUUAGCUAGUUGGUGAGGUAAUGGCUCACCAAGGCGACGGUAAAUAGCUGGUCUGAGAGGAUGAUCAGCCACAUUGGGACUGUUUCUCGGCCCAAACGACUACGGGAGGCAG
RNAcentral lists this ribosomal RNA (303 nucleotides) under uncultured Hyphomicrobiales bacterium. RNAcentral describes it as "bacterial SSU rRNA". It matches the Rfam family "Bacterial small subunit ribosomal RNA", at positions 20 to 351 of the family's 1533-position model. The record is from RNAcentral. Lineage: Bacteria; Pseudomonadati; Pseudomonadota; Alphaproteobacteria; Hyphomicrobiales.